Long non-coding RNA from Xiphophorus hellerii (green swordtail), 566 nucleotides. RefSeq lists it as uncharacterized. The record is from RefSeq and is a predicted model, not a curated record. The transcript is spliced from 2 exons. Lineage: Eukaryota; Metazoa; Chordata; Actinopteri; Cyprinodontiformes; Poeciliidae.
CCGUCUCCAUGCGACCCGGGACCGGCGCCACGUCACGGUCCUCUCCGGGUUCUGCUGCCAGCUGUCUGGGAAAGCCGAACCCACACAGAACCCGUCCGGGGUCUUGGAGGUUCCGGAGAUUUCCCCUGGUCCUCCAGGCAGGAAGCCCAGGUUCGGGACUCGGUUCUGGAGAACAGAUUUGGGUCCAGAUGUUCUGGUCCGGUUCCAACAGCCGCGGAACCGCUAAAAACCCAGAAGCUCCGGAACAUUUAUUGUUACUAUUGAUAUUAUUAUUGAACUAGUUACAAACGGCUAAUAAAGCAGAUAAAGUUUAUUUCCAACAAACAUCAUCGCAAGUAGAUUAAUGAUAAAAUAGAAAUUAAAUUAAAUUUAGUAGAAAAAAGACAAAUUUAACUUGGCAGAGCUUCCAAAAUAAAACCCAAACAGUUUUCCUCUUGAGCUGAAGGUCAGAGAACCGAUGAGGUCCAGUCGGACCCAGAUCAGUCAGAUUUGUUCUGUACACUUCAAAGAGCUUCAUCAUAAAAACAUAAAGUCAACAAUCAAACUUCACAUGAAGUCGAGUUCCU